Molecule: long non-coding RNA, 276 nt
Filed under: Musa acuminata (dwarf banana)
Lineage: Eukaryota; Viridiplantae; Streptophyta; Magnoliopsida; Zingiberales; Musaceae
Description: long non-coding RNA (MACU_LNC011292)
Source: RNAcentral
CCUAACUUACUGUCAGCGGUGGUACCGCCCCUAUUAGGCGGUGGUACCGCCUGAGUUCGGUCUCCGAGCGAUGUCAGGCGGUAGUACCGCCCAGUUAGGCGGUAGUACCGCCAGGACCCCGAAAAACUGGGAGAUGACACUUUUCAACUCUAAAUUCAAAUUGAUUGGGGCCUAUAUAAACCCCACCCUUUCUGCAUGAAAGGGUAACUGAAAGCUUGAUCUUACUCUGUGAUUUUAGAGCUCAAAAGUGUUGUAAAGGCCAAAAGUUCUCCUCCC